Molecule: ribosomal RNA, 2532 nt
Filed under: Colubotelson thomsoni
Lineage: Eukaryota; Metazoa; Arthropoda; Malacostraca; Isopoda; Phreatoicidae
Description: 18S ribosomal RNA
Rfam family: Eukaryotic small subunit ribosomal RNA
Source: RNAcentral
UACCUGGUUGAUCCUGCCAGUAGUCAUAUGCUUGUCUCAAAGAUUAAGCCAUGCAUGUCUCAGUACAAGCCUACCUAAGGAGAAACCGCAAAUGGCUCAUUAAAUCAGUCAUGAUUCAUUGGAUGUUGCCAAGACUUUACUUGGAUAACUGUGGUAAUUCUAGAGCUAAUACAUGCACCUGAGCUCCGACCCCGACGCAAGGAAGGGAAAGGGCGCUUUUAUUAGAUCAAAAACCGAUCGGACUUCGGUCCGUCUCUCGAAAAAGAGCAGUGAUGACUCUGAAUAACUUAGCCGAGCGCUGCGGUCUUAGUACCGGCGCCGUAUCCUUUGAGUGUCUGCCUUAUCAGCUGUCGAUUGUAAGAUAUACGCUUACAAUGGCUGUAACGGGUAACGGGGAAUCAGGGUUCGAUUCCGGAGAGGGAGCCUGAGAAACGGCUACCACAUCUAAGGAAGGCAGCAGGCACGCAAAUUACCCACUCCCGGUUCGGGGAGGUAGUGACGAAAAAUAACGAUGCGGGACUCUUCCGAGGCCUCGCAAUCGGAAUGAGCUCAUUUUAAAUCCUUGGACGAGGAUCCAUUGGAGGGCAAGUCUGGUGCCAGCAGCCGCGGUAAUUCCAGCUCCAAUAGCGUAUAUUAAAGUUGCUGCGGUUAAAAAGCUCGUAGUUGGAUCUUGGAUCCGGACCGGACACCCAUCCAAGGCGCGUCCUCGCCUUAAGGGGGCGGUUUCCCUACGCCCGAUCCGUCCCAAUCUUCCCUUUUCGCUUCGCCUCUAUCCCCCGUUUUCGCUUUCCCGAGUCGGAAGGUGCCGAAAAAAAAAAACGGAGAUAGCGUCGUUUUCGGUCGAGACCUCUUCGCUUUGUCGCGCGAGCGCGGCGUCCGCCUUUCGCUAGGUGCGGCGUCCGUUGCCGUCGGCAUUUCGCGUAAGUCAAAACGGUCGGUUAAAGAAACGGCGCGAAACUCUAGUUAUUCUCUCGGUCCUUCUCGGCGUCGGGUUUAAAAAAGCGGGCGGGCCAGGGAUGGUCGGCGACGGCGGGAUGCGGUCGUUGGGAAUUUAUGCGGGUCGGCGCGCUUAGGGGCCGCUCUCCGGCGAGAACAGCGCGCCCGGUGGUUCUAUGGCCGGCUUCGGAUUGAAAAAACCGUCGGGCUCGCACGGGGUGCUCUUUACCGAGUGUCCCGCGUGGCCGACACUUUCACUUUGAGAAAAUUAGAGUGCUCAAAGCAAGCAAUAACUCACGCUUGAAUGGUGAUGCAUGGAAUGAUAAAACAGGACCUCGGUUCUGUAUGUUUGGUCGGUUUUCCGAACCAGAGGUAAUGAUUAACGGAGACAGACGGGGGCAUUAGUAUUGCGACGCUAGAGGUGAAAUUCUUGGACCGUCGCAAGACUAACUACUGCGAAAGCAUUUGCCAAGAAUGCUCUCAUUAAUCAAGAACGAAAGUUAGAGGAUCGAAGGCGAUCAGAUACCGCCCUAGUUCUAACCAUAAACGAUGCUAACUGGCGAUCCGCCGGAGUCAUUCCCACGACUCGGCGGGAAGCCCCCGGGAAACCAAAGUCUUUGAGUUCCGGGAGAAGUAUGGUUGCUAAGCUGAAACUUAAAGGAAUUGACGGAAGGGCACCACCAGGAGUGAGCUGCGGCUUAAUUUGACUCAACACGGGGAACCUCACCAGGCCCAGACACCGUAAGAUUGACAGAUUGAGAGCUCUUUCUCGAAUCGGUGGUUGGUGGUGCAUGGCCGUUCUUAGUUGGUGGAGCGAUCUGUCUGGUUGAUUCCGAUAACGAACGAGACUCUCCCCUGCUAACUAGUCGGCGGAUCGUCUCCCGAGGAGGGUUCUAGCCGAGUGUGUCGGAUCGUUCCUUCGUUACGCCCAUCGUCGAACCCGUUGGUCGUCGUCGUUACGUCGUUUAGUCGAAAUCCUCCCCUCCGCCGUCAGCCUCCGUGGCGAAACGACGGAAGAUGGAUUUUCGGCUAGCCGGCGCUCGACGAUUGGCGGGACCUCGAACGAUGGAACGUGCGUUAAGACGGUCUCCUCGUGCUUAGAGCCCGACGAGGGGCGUCCGUCGCAACGUCUUCUUAGAGGGAUCGGCGUCGUCCAGGCGCACGAGAUAGAGCAAUAACAGGUCUGUGAUGCCCUUAGAUGUUCUGGGCCGCACGCGCGCUACAAUGAAGGGAUCAGCGCGCUUCCCCCCUCCGAAAGGAGCGGGUAACCCUAUGAAACCCCUUCCCGAUUGGGAUUGGGGAUUGCAAGUGUUUCCCAUGAACGAGGAAUUCCCAGUAAGCGCAAGUCAGCAGCUUGCGUUGAUUACGUCCCUGCCCUUUGUACACACCGCCCGUCGCUACUACCGAUUGAAUGAUUCAGUGAGGGCAUCGGACUGGCCCCUUCGGUGAUCCUUCGGUUUCGAUUCUCUCUCGUUUCGGCGAGGGAAACGGCCGAAGGCACCCUUGGGCUGACGGAAAGAUGUCCGAACUUGAUCAUUUAGAGGAAGUAAAAGUCGUAACAAGGUUUCCGUAGGUGAACCUGCGGAAGGAUCAUUA